RNAcentral lists this ribosomal RNA (253 nucleotides) under uncultured bacterium. RNAcentral's name for it is "partial 16S ribosomal RNA". It matches the Rfam family "Bacterial small subunit ribosomal RNA", at positions 524 to 776 of the family's 1533-position model. The record is from RNAcentral.
CACGUAGGGUGCGAGCGUUGUCCGGAAUUAUUGGGCGUAAAGAGCUCGUAGGCGGUGUGUCGCGUCGGCCGUGAAAACUCACAGCUCAACUGUGGGCGUGCGGGCGAUACGGGCAGACUGGAGUACUGCAGGGGAGACUGGAAUUCCUGGUGUAGCGGUGGAAUGCGCAGAUAUCAGGAGGAACACCGGUGGCGAAGGCGGGUCUCUGGGCAGUAACUGACGCUGAGGAGCGAAAGCGUGGGGAGCGAACAGG